Molecule: ribosomal RNA, 464 nt
Filed under: uncultured bacterium
Lineage: Bacteria
Description: partial 16S ribosomal RNA
Rfam family: Bacterial small subunit ribosomal RNA
Source: RNAcentral
CUACGGGUUGCUGCAGUGGGGAAUAUUGCACAAUGGGCGCAAGCCUGAUGCAGCCAUGCCGCGUGUAUGAAGAAGGCCUUCGGGUUGUAAAGUACUUUCAGCGGGGAGGAAGGGAGUAAAGUUAAUACCUUUGCUCAUUGACGUUACCCGCAGAGGAAGCACCGGCUAACUCCGUGCCAGCAGCCGCGGUAAUACGGAGGGUGCAAGCGUUAAUCGGAAUUACUGGGCGUAAAGCGCACGCAGGCGGUUUGGUAAGUCAGAUGUGAAAUCCCCGGGCUCAACCUGGGAACUGCAUCUGAUACUGGCAAGCUUGAGUCUCGUAGAGGGGGGUAGAAUUCCAGGUGUAGCGGUGAAAUGCGUAGAGAUCUGGAGGAAUACCGGUGGCGAAGGCGGCCCCCUGGACGAAGACUGACGCUCAGGUGCGAAAGCGUGGGGAGCAAACAGGAUUAGAUACCCCCGUAGUC